Molecule: ribosomal RNA, 370 nt
Filed under: uncultured Streptococcus sp.
Lineage: Bacteria; Bacillati; Bacillota; Bacilli; Lactobacillales; Streptococcaceae
Description: bacterial SSU rRNA
Rfam family: Bacterial small subunit ribosomal RNA
Source: RNAcentral
UAGGGAAUCUUCGGCAAUGGGGGCAACCCUGACCGAGCAACGCCGCGUGAGUGAAGAAGGUUUUCGGAUCGUAAAGCUCUGUUGUAAGAGAAGAACGGAUGUGGGAGUGGAAAAUCCAUGUCGUGACGGUAUCUUACCAGAAAGGGACGGCUAACUACGUGCCAGCAGCCGCGGUAAUACGUAGGUCCCGAGCGUUGUCCGGAUUUAUUGGGCGUAAAGCGAGCGCAGGCGGUUUCAUAAGUCUGAAGUUAAAGGCAGUGGCUUAACCAUUGUACGCUUUGGAAACUGUGAGACUUGAGUGCAGAAGGGGAGAGUGGAAUUCCAUGUGUAGCGGUGAAAUGCGUAGAUAUAUGGAGGAACACCGGUGGCG